This is a non-coding RNA of Salvia hispanica, 946 nucleotides long. Lineage: Eukaryota; Viridiplantae; Streptophyta; Magnoliopsida; Lamiales; Lamiaceae. The record is from RefSeq and is a predicted model, not a curated record.
UUCUUUAUCCUAUUACUUGUUUUGUUCGUGGUUCUUUAAUCGGCAGUAGCUAUGUGAUUUGGGAAUCUUGAUGUUGGGAUUUCAUAGUAAGAGCUACUGCAGUGUCUACAUUUCUUGUGAAAAGUUUGAGUUCUUAGUUCAGGCGGCCAUGAUUUCUAUGUGAAACUUGAUUGUCGAGCAUUAUUUGGAUCUUGGUGCUAUUUCUAUGUUUCUCCUAUGAUUCUAAGUUCUUGACUACUCAUUGAGGCCGCUCUAAAUGAUGUGAAAUGGUUGUUGGGUGUUGAGGUAAUUACCUCACUCGGUGGAUCCUCUCGGUUCGCGGUUGUCCUCCCCCCUCCCUGCUUCGCCGCUGUCUCUCCUCGCCUUCUUGCUCCUCCCGUUUCCUUGCUGCACUCCUUGAUUUUGAGUGAAUUUGUGGUGUCUAAAGAAGUGGGGAGGGGAAGGGAGAUGGGGCUGCUUAUAUAGUUCUCUAUUUUGGCUGUUUGUGCUGAAACUUGGGGACAAAGACUCUCAUUUUUGGCUGCCAGCUUGCUGCCUUUCGAACAUGAUGUUUAUGCUUGCUAUGCUAUUUUGGUGUAAGUUGGGGCUGCCUCUCUCGGCUGCUAUCUCAGCCUCGGUUGAUGAGGAAAGAGAAUCUGAUGUUGCCUCUAAAAGGCCUUAGGGAUGAGCUCACUCCUUGCUUAUUCUUGUCUUUUUCCUUUCUUGGAAGAUUGAUGAUGCAUUGUAUAUGGGUUGUCAUCCUUGGAGCUUGUGGAGGCCGAAAAUCGAGAAGGAUGGGAAUGAGGGAAACACUUAGAUUUAGUUGCUCUAUUUGGCUAGUAUCCGAAUAUUGUUGUUUGGCAUCUUUGAAAUGCUAAGUUGUAGCUUCCACUUUUGUAUUUUCCACAUGUAACUAUUAUGUAGCAAAAUCUCACACCUCUCAAUAAGAUUGUGUAGUCCUUUUCCA